Molecule: non-coding RNA, 19 nt
Filed under: Arabidopsis thaliana (thale cress)
Lineage: Eukaryota; Viridiplantae; Streptophyta; Magnoliopsida; Brassicales; Brassicaceae
Source: RNAcentral
UGCCGCGUGUUGAAGGCCA